Molecule: ribosomal RNA, 246 nt
Filed under: uncultured bacterium
Lineage: Bacteria
Description: partial 16S ribosomal RNA
Rfam family: Bacterial small subunit ribosomal RNA
Source: RNAcentral
UGGCGCACGGGUGAGUAACACGUGGGUAACCUGCCCUUGAGUUCGGGAUACCCCCUCGAAAGGGGGGCUAAUACCGGAUACGUUCCUUGGAUCGAAAGGUCUGAGGAGGAAAGGUGGCGAAAGCUGCCGCUCUUGGAGGGGCUCGCGGCCUAUCAGCUAGUUGGCGGGGUAACGGCCCACCAAGGCUAUGACGGGUAGCUGGUCUGAGAGGACGACCAGCCACACGGGGACUGAGACACGGCCCCG